This 403-nucleotide ribosomal RNA is filed under the name uncultured bacterium. RNAcentral describes it as "bacterial SSU rRNA". It matches the Rfam family "Bacterial small subunit ribosomal RNA", at positions 28 to 419 of the family's 1533-position model. The record is from RNAcentral.
GAUGAACGCUGGCGGCGUGCCUAAUACAUGCAAGUCGAGCGAACGGAUUAAGAGCUUGCUCUUAUGAAGUUAGCGGCGGACGGGUGAGUAACACGUGGGUAACCUGCCCAUAAGACUGGGAUAACUCCGGGAAACCGGGGCUAAUACCGGAUAAUAUUUUGAACUGCAUAGUUCGAAAUUGAAAGGCGGCUUCGGCUGUCACUUAUGGAUGGACCCGCGUCGCAUUAGCUAGUUGGUGAGGUAACGGCUCACCAAGGCAACGAUGCGUAGCCGACCUGAGAGGGUGAUCGGCCACACUGGGACUGAGACACGGCCCAGACUCCUACGGGAGGCAGCAGUAGGGAAUCUUCCGCAAUGGGCGAAAGCCUGACGCAGCGACGCCGCGUGGGUGAUGAAGGCCUUC